Lampris incognitus (smalleye Pacific opah) is the source of this 406-nucleotide long non-coding RNA. RefSeq lists it as uncharacterized. NCBI's taxonomy places the organism in Eukaryota, Metazoa, Chordata, Actinopteri, Lampriformes, Lampridae. The transcript is spliced from 3 exons. The record is from RefSeq and is a predicted model, not a curated record.
CAGACACACAUCCACACACACACACACACACGCACACAUGCGCUCGAGAAAAUAUACUUGUUCUCGGCUGCUCCUACACACUUGACACUUUCUCAGCUCCAGCAGUUUCUCAUCAUGUUAAUCAGCUCUUCAAGGAACUGUGUGAAUUCAGUGCAGAGUGGAGGAAGACCGAAGAGGAAGAGGAAGAGAAGUUCUAUUCUGGAAGACAUGUUCCUCAGCCAUGGCCUCAGCUGACACCGUGGAGCCAUGGCCUCAGCUGACACCGUGGAGCCCCCCCCCCCCCCGAAGCCCACCUCCCCGCUCCAUCUCAACCCCCUUCAGGAGCGGCCUGGUGAAACUUACAGGAGUCUGUCCGAAAACACAGCUCAUGGGGUUGGCUCGCCGCUCCAGGACUAACUGCACUUCU